ACAGCCAACCCCCCCGCUCGGAAAAAAGCAUGAGAAGGAGACGAACAGAGAGAGAUCCCACAUGUAUUAAUGAGAUCCAGAGCUUGGAGAAAACUUGAUAAGAAAGAGAGGGAAAGUGUGUGAGAGGAGGUGCAGCGUCGGCGAGAGUGGUUGCUCACAUUAGCGGAGCAGGAUAAUUGUUUUAUUUACCUUGGAAACUCCGACUGGUUUUUGUGUGACCCUGGAUCUGAGAGGACGAUUUCGAUGGCGAGCCGGACCCAUGGAGAGAAGAUUGACAAUCCCUGCUAGUAGACUGGCCAGCUGCUGCAGGAUUUGCAAAGUGGAAUCACCUUGAACACGUUGAAAAACUCAGAUAAGCACAUGAACACACACUAUUAUUCCUACCCGGGGAGUGUACGUUAGAAAGACAAGACCAACAACUCAAAGAACAGUACCAGUACAACAAGAACUGAACAAAAGGACCUGGAUCCAGAGACUAUUAUUUCUUUUUCCAGAUAUUUUUAUAUUUUAUUUUAUUUUUACUAAAGAAAAAGAGCUGUAUUUUAUUUUGUUUGUUAUUUUUCUACUCACUGUAAACAUGGUAUUUUCCUGUAUUCCUAGAAUAAAACUGUCAGUUGUUACUUACCUUUCCAAUACAUUUUUUAUUAAAAAUCUUUUAUUACUCCUCAGAACCUAGGUCUUAGUAAGCACAAAUCUAACACCUGUGCUACAUGUUGUUAUCGUAUGAUGCACAGUUGCGAUCCCUGAAAAUAUACAGAUGUAACACAAAUAUAGUUGGAGCACUUAGAAACAUUUACUGUACACACCUGGCUGCAACCACGGUUUCAGUGGAUGUUCUUCAUGCAUGUGGACUCCUCGUAGGUGGUUCACAAGAGAUCAAAUGUGAUGUCCCCUGCAGAUAAAAAGAAAUGUAAGGGACCAGGUGAGGAUUUAUAAACUGUAAAGUCAAUAAGAAGAAGCAGCCUUGUGCAUUACUUAUUGUUAUUAUUGUAGGGGGGUCCCCCCUCUCUCAUUGAAGGACUUGAUAAGUUUAUCUGCUGUAAAAUAAAUGAGAACCACA
Long non-coding RNA from Paralichthys olivaceus (Japanese flounder), 1060 nucleotides. RefSeq lists it as uncharacterized. Lineage: Eukaryota; Metazoa; Chordata; Actinopteri; Pleuronectiformes; Paralichthyidae. The record is from RefSeq and is a predicted model, not a curated record.